RNAcentral lists this long non-coding RNA (234 nucleotides) under Capsicum annuum. RNAcentral describes it as "long non-coding RNA (CANN_LNC011362)". The record is from RNAcentral. Lineage: Eukaryota; Viridiplantae; Streptophyta; Magnoliopsida; Solanales; Solanaceae.
AUCAAACAAUAAACAAAACAAAACAAUCCAAAAAUGUGAAGUCCAGUCCAACUAUACAGUGCAAAAAUAAAUAAUGCGGAAAUAUAAAUCUAUUCUACCCUAGACUAAUCCUAUACUACGCUCUACCGCUUCACCCGAUGCCUCGGGCCUUCACCACGAACAUCUUCCAAGUACAAGGUACCUCGGGGCAUUCCCCGGUGAAUAAAUAUAUACAGAUACUUUGGGGCAUUCCCC